GCUGACUAGGGGCACGGAGCGGAGGUAAAAGGAGGGGUGCAAACUUGUAUCGGAAUUCCUGGGCGUAAAGUGCGCGUAGGUGGUUCGUGAAGUUGGAGGCGAAAGCCCCGGGCUCAACCUGGGAACGGCAUCCAAAACUGGCGAGCUAGAGUACGGUAGAGGGUGGUGGAAUGUCCUGUGUAGCGGUGAAAUGCGUAGAUAUAGGAAGUAACACCAGUGGCGAAGGCGACCACCUGGACUGAUACUGACACUGAGGUGCGAAAGCGUGGGGAGCAAACAGGAUUAGAUACCCUUGUAGUC
This 300-nucleotide ribosomal RNA is filed under the name uncultured Novosphingobium sp. RNAcentral's name for it is "bacterial SSU rRNA". It matches the Rfam family "Bacterial small subunit ribosomal RNA", at positions 496 to 795 of the family's 1533-position model. Lineage: Bacteria; Pseudomonadati; Pseudomonadota; Alphaproteobacteria; Sphingomonadales; Sphingomonadaceae. The record is from RNAcentral.